AUGGAGAAGAUCACUGGCUUUGAGAAGACGUUCGAAACAAAGCUCGAUAACAAGUUUAAUGAAUUGCUCACGCGUCUUCCACCACCACCACCCGCUGCACCUAACGCACCUCUCCAACAACAACAACAACGACUACCUCCACAUCGCGAAACAGACCUUCGCCGAGCGAGUCGUGUUCCUCUUGCGUUUGGCCAAACUGUUGGUGCUGCUGUUGAUACUUCUGUGGCUCCUGCUGCUGAUGCGGAGGAGGAUGAUUAUGUGGGAGAUUAUGAGGAUGAGGUUGAUCAAAAUCAGCACUACGUGCAGCCACCUGCACCACCACCAGCAGGUCGACCUCAGGUAUAUAUUCGUAAUGGUAGGCCUGCACCACCACCUCAGGUACGAGAUGAUGUCCAUAUUCCUAAACUGAAAUUGAAUAUUCCACCAUUUGAGGGUAGAUAUGUUCCUGAUAUAUAUCUUACUUGGGAGUUAGAAACUGAACAACGAUUUACAUGUUUACAAUAUCCUGAGGAGAGACGAGUUGCUGCUGCUGUUUGUCCUUUCACUAGUUUUGCAUGUGUAUGGUGGUCUGAACAUUGUAGAUUAUAUCCUAUUCCAACUACUUGGGCUGCUUUGAAAACUGCUAUGCGUACUCGUUGGGUUCCACCAUAUUAUCAAGAUGAAUUGCUUCAAAAAUUAUAG
RNAcentral lists this ribosomal RNA (681 nucleotides) under Triticum aestivum (bread wheat). Its description in RNAcentral is "partial small subunit ribosomal RNA". The record is from RNAcentral. Lineage: Eukaryota; Viridiplantae; Streptophyta; Magnoliopsida; Poales; Poaceae.